RNAcentral lists this long non-coding RNA (9011 nucleotides) under Triticum aestivum (bread wheat). RNAcentral's name for it is "long non-coding RNA (TAES_LNC021414)". The record is from RNAcentral. Lineage: Eukaryota; Viridiplantae; Streptophyta; Magnoliopsida; Poales; Poaceae.
AAGUCCACCUAAAACUUAAGGGCAUGGUGGAGUCUAAAGAUAGAACAUUGAUCAGUAAAGCCUUUUUUUAUGAUGAAAAAGAUCUUGAUAGUGGUGAUAUUAUUUCCACCCGUGCCCUUCGUGGCCUUUGUGAAAUAGAGUUAUGCUGUGAGCAGCUUGAACAUUCACACCAAGCCACUAUCCUCGGUGUUCGUGUUGUACGGGGCUCAUUGCCUUGUGGCAAUGGCAUCAAGAUCGUUUGCUCCGCACUACCUGAGGACAAAACCAAAGGCGGUGGUAAGCGCCCAUCUGGGUGUAUUUUGCUGCUUGAUUCACAAGCUGGAGAUAUGCCUGUGGGUGAAGAGGGUUAUCUAGAUCUGUCGAGGCAAGUUGUAUCUGUAAAAUCAAGAGGAAGGCUCGAAAUUCUCAUGAAGGCUGGAGAAAUCAGUGGAAGUGUCGUCUUCCCAACCAAAUUCAGCAACAUAAGUCGAGAAAGUUGUGAGCUUGGUAGUUGUGAAGUGGAGAUAACCGUUGCUUGGUCCUUGCUCAUUGAAAACCAGUAUGAUAUCUCGGUGAUGGGAGCCAUACAGCCUUAUGCAUGGGAAUCAAUUCCACGUAGGCCUACCAUGAAGCUUGUUGGCGCUUGCUGAAGAUGUUCACUUGGUGAAGAUGAAGUCAUCCUCUGCAGCGGCAUGCUAGCUAAUUGUACUACUAGCAGUAAUCUGAAAAGGUAUGGGCAAGACAAGGCAGCGUCAGAUGCUGGUUCAGUUUCUGAAAAUGUUUUUUGGCAAAGCAGAGAUAAUCACCGUGCUACCUGAUAUAAGCAGUAUAUAAUCCGGGAUGCGAUUCGGAUUUGACAGGAAGAAUAGGGACCAUGAAAAACACACUGGAUGAGUAGUCUUUCAUGUCAGUAGGAUUGAAGUCUAGCUAGGCCUGAUUAUGAGCGACCAUUCUGCAUUCCAAACAUGUACGUAGGUUCUUCAAUACAAUUAACCGUAUCUUUGUAUAUACAUAGAAAGAAUAUCGUUUACUGAUACAAUUAUCUCUGCUCCGUUUGCAAAGAACAGGGCCUUUCGCUACAUCUUCUGUGUAGAAGAUGCUAGCGUCCUUUGGCCUGACAAGCAUAUGAAUAUAUGAUCCCAGGGCUGGUACUCCUCCAGUUGCUAAAAAUAAUGCUCCAAUUAUUACUUUCGCAUGACCGUUUUAGCAGCACAUGCACAGAGCACAGCACAGGCAAAAUUCAAUCGCACAGCACAGCCCAGUCUUCCUUGAAAAGUAAUGCUUGUAAUGGGCAUCUUAAUCUGGAUACAACUUGCGCUGCCAGCCUUGUAAAGGUAUAAACAUAUUAAGAAGAAUCAUUUUUUUAUACAUCAAUCUUAUCAAUAGAAAAACUUAAUACAGAAGCAGAAAAUAUGGUGAAGCAGUACAUGGAAUUGUAUCGUCAGGCUCUCUGUCUGCGAAUAUCCAAAUCGCCUCUCAUCUAUCUGCUACUCCUUCCGUCCCAUAAUGUAAGACUUUUUUGACACUACACUAGAGUUAAAAAAUGUCUUAUAUUAUGGGACGGAGGAAGUACUUUUGUUCACUACAGAAGGAGCUAGAUAUCGGACAUGGAGUUUGAAGAUAUCUAGUGAAAGUACUCGUGUCAGCACGAGAUCACAUUUGGAAUAGUAAAAUUAAAAUAAAUUGUAGAACGAUUCAAAAAAAUAUAUAAAACUUUUGGCAACAAACAAUGAUGUAUGUUUCACAUGCACGCAAAAUUUCGCGAUGCAAUGACAUUUGUGGAGGUCUCGGCAAAAAAUGGAAGCUCCAAAAUGCUUUAAAAAAUAGUCUUUUAGAGCACCUUUUUUUCAUACCUCCAAGAAUCAUGAAAUUUUGCAUGCAUGUAAGGCACACAUCAGUGUUUGUUGCCAAAUAAUUCAUUUUUUAUUCGUUUUACUAUUUUUUUAAUUUUACUGUUCCAAAGGGUGAAUGUGGAGCUCAUGCUCAGCCCCAAGGCAGGCACAAUAUGUUUCACGCACCAAUUACAGUCUGUCCCUGCAACGACACAGUAUCCGAACCUAGCCCGGUGCCAAAAGAAUAUAAAAAUAACAAUGAUAAAGAAAUAAGGAGAGCUGACAUGCCCAGCGACACACAACAAGCAACAACACCAUAUGUCGCCCUUGACAACACAGGAACUACAAGAAAUGUUUUCCAAAAACAAUGCCUUUGGAAAGGAAAACCUCCCUUCCGUCAGAUCGAACUGUUGAAUAUCCCUCCUUGAGACAUGAUACUCUGAAGAGCGCCGAACAUCAUCAAUGGAUUCAACAUCUUGUGUGCAUGUGGUCUAGAGCCAGUCUGAUAGAGUCUGCCAAGACAGAGGUGUCAAGAUGUGGCAAACCAUGACCACGCCAUCCUAGAGAGACCUCCUAUAUAGCGACCUAUGCGUCAGAAAAAUGUGGAGCACUCACCCCCCCGCACCUCCUCCGUGCGCGCUCAUAGGCCGGGCCAUGUGCGGGGCGGGAUGCCCCUUUGUUUUUUUAAGUUUAAGUUUUUCCUUUUUAAAAAUAAUUCAGGAUUUCAAGAAGUUGUAAAAUGUGGAAAAAAAUCUCGAAUUCAAAAAAUGUUCAGGAAAUGAUAAAUUCCCACAGAUACAAAAAGUUCGUGAUUUUUUGCAAAAUGUUCAAAAUAUUCCAAAAAAUGUUCAGGGUUUUCAACAAAAUGUUCCAUAAAUUAAAAAAAAUGUUCAAAAAAUCAUAAAAUAAUCAUGAACUCAAAAAAUGAUUGUCAAACAAAACAUGUUCCUGAAUUUCAAAAUGUUUGACGGUAAAAUUUUAUUCACGAGUUCCAAUAAAUGUACACAAUUUCAAAAAAACUUCAUGAAUUCAAAAAAUAAUUGCAAUUUGCUUUUCACGAAUUUGUGAAAAAAAUUGUGAAUUUUAAAAAUGUUGAAUAUUUAAAAAAAAUCUUGAAUUUGAAAAACAAAUCAUGAUUUUAAAAAAUGUUCACGAAUUUGGGAAAAUGUUCGUGGAUUAAAAAAUGUUUAAGAUUUCAGAAAAAUGUCCAUGAAUUUGAAUAAAUGUUCACGAUUUAAAAAAUAUUCUUGAAUAUAAAAGAUGUUCGAAAAUUGAAAAAAAUAAAAAUAGUAAAAAGGAAAAAUAAGAAAAAAUAGAAAAAAAUAAUGAAAAUAAGAAAAAAUAAAGAUAAAAAUCGAAAGGAAAAAACAAAAACCCCGAUUCAGAAAUGGGUUGGCCCAUUCAAAAACUUGCGCUUGACGAGGUACGCACUAGGUCGCUUCGUGGCGACCUAUGCGCGGAAUAGGAUACGCUCGUCUCAUAUGUACCGCUUCGAGUUGCUGCCGCUGCUAUCGCAUCGCCACUGCCACAAUCGAAUAAGCCACCGCCCGCCUCGCGAGCCGCCGCACGCCAGAUCCGCAAUGACCUGAGUCUGCCGCCACAAGCACCCGUGCCAUUGCGGUUAAGCAUUGCUAUCAGGGUAAAAUACCGCAUCGUUGUGUCGGAGGAACACGCCACCUCAUGAAAACUAAGGAUAACAUGCGUGUUGCUACUGAAUAAAUAAAUAAAAUAAAUUUUAUUAAUAAUUCAUUAGAUAUGACAUGUAAUUUUCUUGUUCAAGAAACUGAAAACUUUAAUAUAUAAGCAUCUUGCACACAAAAAGGGCAACUAGAUGUACUGAACAGCUGAGUUUUUUUAUUCCUUUGAACAUACUCUAGAAACUCGGUGUCUUGUGUAUUUUACCAAACAUUUCAGAUAACUAACUCUUGUCAUACUGAUGAAGACCAUUGAUAAUUGUGAGGAAAAAAUCAUAAGAUUAAACAAAUCAAUCAAUACAAAGGAAUAAAAGAUGUUUUUAAUACCAUAUGGAUAUGCCUACGAGAAGCUAAUUACUCCAACUGUGACCAUGCCAAAAAAUUAUAGAGAUGGAUGGAGAUAUACAAACGUAGUGACACACACACACACACACCCAUCUUAGCAAAAUGGCGAGAAUGAAUGCACAAGGUACUAGCAUGUAAACAGAUGUUACCUUUGGGGCACUGGUUCGUCUCCGCUUUGUCCAGUUCCUCAUUUGAGAAAUCAAUUCCAAGAAGCCCCCGCCGAAUGUGUGUGGAACGAAGAGAAGCAUUCGGCGGGUAGGAAUGGAGAAAAAAGAGAAUAGAACAUAUGUGUGGUGGAUGGGGUAGAUAGUAGAAUUAUCACAUGAUCUUGUCUCGAAUGCAUGAGCAUUUUUCAGAUACAUGAAUUUAGUUUUUUGUUAUGCAUGAACAUUAUUCUUUACAGAAAUAAUUUCAUUUUCUAACUAAAUUGUAAAAUUAUUACAAAGUCAAUAUAAAUUUGGAGUUUGUGAUGAAAAAACAUUGUGCUGUUAGUGGACCGUGCCGAAUAAGGCUUUGAGGUCCGGUGCACCUGCGAUUCUACUGGGCCGGGCUGAGCGGAGAGUUGGGUCCUCUGCCUUCCCCCCAACGAAGGAAAAUAUCGUGUGUUGCUCAAAAAAAAAGAAGGAAAAUAGCGUGUUCUCCCCCCAAAAAAGGAAAAUAGCGGCGGCGGCGGCGGCGGCAGCCGGAGAAGAAAGGACGGCGGUGAGGGCAGUGAGAUGACGACCGCUGGGAGUUCGAAGACAGGGAGUGUCGAGUCCGAGUUAAGCAAGGAGCUCUAUCAGGCCGCAAUCUGCAUGUAGGAGAGGAUCCGCGCGUUGCAGUCCGCCGGUUGGAUCGGCAAUAAAGGGGAAUCGAUGGAGCCCCAGAGCAAGAUUCGCGACGAGGACGACGAGAUGGAAACCGGAGGGGAGCUUUCGACGGGAAGGAGCAGCGGCGAGUCCCUGCAUCUUGCCGCCGCAGUCGAGACCGAGUGGAGGACCACCGGCGACUCCGACGAGAACUCGGUGUUCAUCCUGGAGGAGACCGUGCACAGAUUGGUUAGCGACAUCAUGCCGGAAUUCGAAGCAAAGGUCGGCGACGUCGCUUCAGUGCUCGAAGCAGAGGAGACCCGGAAAGAGGCACUGGCGGCGCUGAGCUUCGGCUUCAGACUGCAGUUGUUCUCCAAGCAGAUCGACGAGCUGCGGCACGAGAUGUGCAAGUUGCUGAGAUCGUUCUCGCCGGAAAACAAAGAUAUAAGGAGCACCAUGAUCAAGUUUAUCUCCGAGCCGUACCUAGGCCGUAUCUGCAAAUUGCAGUGGAUCUCUGAACGUGUCAGUAUGCUCCAGCGAAUGGACCCAGACUUCGACUCCAAAGUGAAGUCAACAAUCAUCAAGCUGAAAUCGGAAUCCUUCUUGUUAGCCAUGGAGGAGUUGAAGGAGGAGGAGGAGGAGGAGAGCGGUAGUGAAGGAAUCGCCGGAGAAGGUCGUGGAGACCAAGAAGUUUCCAUGGAGAUGGAGGAGAAGAGAUUCGAUUCCUACCGCCGCUGCUGGGAACGUUUAUGGGGCAAUGACCGCAGCUUCGAAGACCAGAGUGAGUAAAACGUGCAUGCUCCUACUUAUCUACUCUUAGUUACUCCAUGUCUCAAGCAAGCUGCAUACUUCAAGUGGAGUAGUUUUCUUCUUUAUACUUACUGCAUGUCUCAAGCAAGCUGAUUCCUUAAAAGUUGGAAUUUACUCCACUUGUAGUACCAUAUUGAUUCUAGUUUAUUCUUCUUGUAUGCGUAAAAGGAUUCUGGCCGCUAUAUAGUUACUUCAUGUUCAAUCUUUAACUCAUACUUAACUUGGAUGCAGCAUUAUUGAGCCCCAUGCUCUUUACACAUUGCACAGCAAGCCGCAUCCCGAGUGAAGCUGUCGCCGGGAGUACCUUGCAGAUCCACUCCAUCAAAAUCUCAACAGCAAAAGAGCUCACAUUGCCACUGGAGGUGUAUGGAGUGGUCGCAGUCCGAGAUGCUGUGGACCGUCAUCGCAACCCUCUAUUUCUUCGUUCAAGAACACAUUGCCAAAUCCUUGAAGAAAAUGUAUGUAUGGUAUUUUCGUGUUCUUGAUCCUUUGUUUGUUGCCUGCAUCCUUGUUGAUUAUGGCAAAUGAUGAUGCUUGCAGGAUUCAUUUUUGCGCUUGAUUGGCCCGGUUCGUGCAAUUGUGUCGACGGAUACUGUUUACAUCGAAAUCCAACUAAAAGUAAAGGGCGCAACAAAAUCUGAAGAUACAACAUUGAUCAGUACAUUCGGCUUUUACAAUGGUGACAGUUCUGGUACCUAUCUCCUGAAAAACAGUUUGUGCACAGUGGAGUUAUGCUAUGAGCAACUUAAACAGUCGGUCCAGGCCACUAUCAUGGGUGUGUUUGUUACACCCAAACAGGAAUCAUUGCCUUUUCCAUAUGGUGGCCGAGUUAUUUGCUCUUCACUGCCUCAGGAUGGUAAUGAAGAUAUCGCUGGGCUUCCAUCUAGGGAAGUCUUGCUGCUUGAUUCGGAAGGUGGAAGAAUGUCUCUGACUAGUAAUGGCUACCUUAGUCUGGCAAGAUGUGUAGUUUCUGUGGAGUUAAAAGGAAAGCUGCAAGUCCUCAUAAUGGCUGAAUCACCAUCACAAAAUGCUGAGAUUGCUGCGCAAUUCCUCUUCACACCCGAAAAAUGCAACAUAAGUAAAGGUGAAUGUUACCUCCCUGAUGGCUCUAAGGUUGAGAUUACUGUUGCUUGGUCCCUCAUUCCCUCGACGAUGCUACAGUCAGGUGACAGUCGUGAGGACAGUGGGAUGGUGACCGGACGAUAUUCAAAGGAAAGGACUGGCGGGUCCAUGUUAAGUGAGGAGGUAUGUAAGGCUGGAAUCUUAAUGCAGGAGAGUAUCCGCUGGGUCCAGGCCCGGGAGGAGAAGCCUUUGAAGGGAAGGAGUGGCGAUGUUGAAUUGUUGAGGAUUGGCAACGAAGGCAGAAUGUUGAAGACACUGAGCAAGAUUGGUGACGGGGGCAAAUUGGUCUCCAAGCAGUUCAUGGAGCCGCUGGUCAAUUUCUCAAUGUCUGUAGCCAGAUCUGUCAGAAACAUGAUUGAGGAGGAGGUAGAGACCGAGGCGGCAGGGGUGGUGCCGAUGGUCGGCUUCAAAUUACAUUUGCUCUCCAGGCAGUUUGAUGAGUUGUGGGACAACAUGGGCCAGCUAGUCUCAACAGAAGCAAAAUUUCUAGCGAUAUGCAUGCUUAUUCAUGAGCCCUUCGCAUGCUAUUGCUCCACACUGAAGUUUAUCUCUGCAGUUUUCAACCGGCUUUGUCAAUGGGUGCCAGAUUUGACAUCGGCAAUGGGAUCGAUAAGGGAACACAAGGAGAUAGAGGACGGGGAUAAGGAUAGGAAGGUUGUGAAUGAGUAUGAGGAGGAGAAGAAGGCUGAGGAGUUCUAUUUCAAUGCCCACCGUGAAAACUGGGAAUUUAGUCGCAGCAACUUUGGCAGCUUUGAAGACCCAAGUGAGUAAAUGUGCUAGUGAUAUGGUCGUAGUUAGUAUGCUUUUCUUCUUCCACUUACUGCAUGUCUCAAGCAAGCGAAUUCGUUCUGUAAGCAUAGGGAUUUACUCUACUCAGAUUGACUCUUCUUUAUUCUUCUUGAAUGUAUAGUAAAAGCAAUCUGUGCACUCUUUAGUUAGUUCACGUUAGAUUUCUAACACAUACUUCACUUGGUUGCAUGCAGCGGUAUUGAGCCCCUUGCUCUUUACCCACUACAUACCAGGCCACACCCAACUGGGUGCUCAAGUCGGGAGGACUAUGCAGGUCUACUCUAUUAAAGUCACAGAAAUAGAAGGCUAUGCCCUUGAGUGGCCACUGAAGGUAUACGGUGUAGUCGCUGCACGAGAUGUUGUCGACUAUCGUCGCAACAUUCUCUUCCUUCGCGCUAGGGAUGACUGCCAAAUCCUCACGAGAAAGGUAUGCACCUGUUCCUUUUCUUAUUCCUUGCAUAUUUGUUAACAAGUUAAUGGAGAAUACUGAUGUUUGCAGGAUUCUUUUUUGCACUUGACUGGCCCUUCUCGUGCAAUUAUGUCUGGUGGCAUAUUGGAGAACAAUGUUACUAUUGAAGUCCACCUAACACUAAAGGACACAGUGGAGUCUAAUGAUAGAACAUUGAUCAGUAAAGCCUUCGUUUAUGACGAAGAUGAUCUUGGUAGUGGUGAUGUUAUUUCUACGCGUCUUCUCCAGGGCCUUUGUUCAAUAGAGUUAUGCUGUGAGCAUCUUGAACAGUCAGUCCAAGCCACUAUCGUCGGUGCUCGUGUUGUAAAGGGCCCAUUGCGUUGUGGCAAUGGCAUCAAGGUCGCUUGCCCCGUUCUACCUGAAGGUAAAACUGAAGGCAGUGUCAAGUGCCCAUCUGGGCGUGUUUUGCUGCUUAGUUCACAAGCUGGGACAGUGCCUGUGGGUGGUUAUCUAGAUCUGUCAAGGCAAGCUGUAUCCGUAAAAUCAAGAGGAAGACUUGAAAUUCUCAUACAGGCCGGAGAAAUCAGUGGAAGUGUCGUCUUCAAAGCUGAAGACAGCAGCAUAAGUCGAGAAAGAUGUCGUCUUGGUGAUUGUGAAGUGGAGGUAACUGUUGCUUGGUCCCUCCUUGUUGAAAACCAGCAUGAUAUCUCGGUGAUGGGGUAUAUAGCGCCUUACGCAGAAGAAUUAAUUCCACCUUUACCCGUCAUGAAGCUUUAUAGAGGCCCUCGGUGAUGAUGAAGCCAUGCAUCUGAUAUCGUGUUUACUGUUCCAUCAUGAACUUGUCUGCUAAUUCAUGUACUAUGAUAUACUACCUAGAUACAUCCGUUUGAGCGACAAGUAUUUCCAGAUGGAGGGAGUACAACACUAGUAUAUGCUCGUUUUUCUUAACUAUGGUCUUGUGUGUACUAUGAUACAAGACAAAGCCUAUGUAUAUAUUGCUGUUAUGCACAUAUAUGGUGUUGUUGUUGAGCUAGGUAAGCCUACUUUGGAAUUUCUAGCUUAUUGGUGGAGCAUCUUAUUGGUGGAUUGUAUGCCAAUUUACACUUGUUUGGAAACCUGUUGAUUCAUCAUGGAUCUGGAGAUGUAGCCUUGUGCUUUCCUCUAGGUUGUAUUGCUAGAACCUAGCCGACAAUAAAGGAUAACCGUUUUUUUACGAAUAAUAAAGGAUAAAAGUUGAAAUGCG